This 974-nucleotide long non-coding RNA is filed under the name Monodelphis domestica (gray short-tailed opossum). RNAcentral's name for it is "lncRNA (ENSMODG00000044386.1)". Lineage: Eukaryota; Metazoa; Chordata; Mammalia; Didelphimorphia; Didelphidae. The record is from RNAcentral.
UGGUUGGCUGGUAAAAAGGAAUGUUGUAAUAGGAACCACAAAUGUGUUUUUGAAUGGGUGAUUACCAAAAGAAUAGCUUAAACUUGGGUGCAUUUUAGGGAACCCUUAUUGGCAGGUGGAAGAAGUGAUCUGGGUUAACAUAUAAACAUCUUUAUGGCUUUUAGAAAUCAUUUUGGGGGAGUAAAGUCUCAGUAGCAAUAGAUAGAUAUAUUAAAUCUUUUGUUCACCAUUCUGAAAAUGUAUUUUUAAAAAUAUCUUUAUCUUCUGUUUUAGAAUCAGUACUAAGCAUUGCUUCCAUGGCAGAAGAAUGAUAAGGACCAGGCAACUGGGGCUGAUCAAAGGCUGGACUGGAUUUAAAGGAAUAAUACUACUCAGUUCCCUCCCUCAUUUCUGCUGUCAGUCGCCAGAUUCUGAUGCUGUUCCCUGCCACCUCUUUGGCAUGAGAGAGAAGUCUGAUGUGGAGGUCCUUGCAAUGAGGGAAGAAUGCGCUUCAAUCAUCUCCCAUCCGAAUGGAGUCCAUCUAUGUGAAUAGGGGAGAGUGUGGAAGAGAGAAUUUGCAAUGCAUGCAAAGGACAUCAUCUGUCAAUCAAAAGGAACAUUCUAUUGGAAUGUUCCCAGGAGAAGCAGUUGGAGUCAAGCCAGCAGCUGAAGUGGGCUGGACUUACUUCUGACCUAGGCUGAGAGGUUUUUGGCUUCUGGAACUGGGGAGAGGCUUGUGAACUAAGUUUGGCUGCUUGUGGCUGAUGGUGAAGACCCUGAAGCUUUUGCUGACUGACUGAGGUUACCUGGCUGGCUAGAAGAAAAGAAGACAUACAGUUAUCCUAAUCUCUCUGACUGUCCCUGCUAGUGACUGAUUGCCAUUUUCCCAAUAUCCUCCUAAACCUCCUUAUAGAGAAGAGGGAAACCUAUCCCUCUUACCUUAUCUUCUACCCUUCUCCUGUCUUCCCCAAAUAAACCCCUUACUUGAGAAAUCA